AUGACUUUGGUGGUGUUUCUUCAUCGGCCAAGUUUCUACAUUAAGGCUGAAUACGUGGCUGGCACAGGAGCUGCCUUCUGGACAAGGACAUUUUCAGUGGAAGAUAAUGCACAGAAGGUGUACAAUACCACUGGUUGUCAAAGAAGCGAAGCCAGGGUCCCUUCUAGUGGGUGGUAGGUAAGAAUUACUAAUCCAAUCUGCUUGAGUUAACUCAAAACAAGGAUUAGUGUAAAGUUCCAGAAUAUGUUAAUCUUCCUUUAUAGAAGUAAACUUCAGCUCUGCCACCAACCCCAUGGUUUAUAGUUCCUGGGAACAAUGAGCCAAUUAAACUUGAGAGGGA
This 340-nucleotide long non-coding RNA is filed under the name Sus scrofa (pig). RNAcentral's name for it is "lncRNA (ENSSSCG00025074179.1)". Lineage: Eukaryota; Metazoa; Chordata; Mammalia; Artiodactyla; Suidae. The record is from RNAcentral.